UCUGGUGAUGAAGGCGAAGUGGACACACCUGUACUCAUCCCGAACACAGAAGUUAAGCACUUCAGCGGCGACAAUAGCUAAGCAAGCUCCAGUGAAGAUAGCACGUUGCCAGGU
Molecule: ribosomal RNA, 114 nt
Filed under: Absiella sp. AM27-20
Lineage: Bacteria; Bacillati; Bacillota; Erysipelotrichia; Erysipelotrichales; Erysipelotrichaceae
Source: RNAcentral